Molecule: ribosomal RNA, 281 nt
Filed under: uncultured bacterium
Lineage: Bacteria
Description: partial 16S ribosomal RNA
Rfam family: Bacterial small subunit ribosomal RNA
Source: RNAcentral
AUUGAACGCUGGCGGCGUGCCUAACACAUGCAAGUCGAGCGGUAACAGGCGUAGCAAUACGUGCUGACGAGCGGCGGACGGGUGAGUAACGCUUAGGAAUCUACCUAGUAGUGGGGAACAACCCGGGGAAACUCGGGCUAAUACCGCAUACGCCCUUCGGGGAAGGCGGGGAGUCGCAAGACCUCGCGCUAUUGGAUGAGCCUAAGUCGGAUUAGCUAGUUGGUAGGGUAACGGCCUACCAAGGCGACAAUCCGUAGCUGGUCUGAGAGGACGACCAGCCA